GGGGAUGAAAGGUUUCGACGGGGCAGGAGGCUCUGUAAUUGCAAGCCGUAGAGCGUCGGCUACGCUAAAAAGGCGCAAACACUAUAAAUGCCAACAACACUGGCAAGGUCUUCAACUUCGGUUUUGCAUCCGCCGCUCCGGCGAUGGCUGCCGCCUAAGUUAGACCAACCCUGAUCCCGUAAGACGGAUCACGGCCCAUUCUCAUGGCACCGGCAGGUGAGGAUGAAGCCGACAUAAUCUGUAGGUUGCGGUAGCCUAACGCCGAUGUGGCUGCCUAAGACUAUCGGCUAGCUGGUUUCCAAACCCUACGUCAUCGUGGGUUUUACUGGCGAACCUCUCAAACAGAUGACUAAGCUUGUAGACGUUGCAGCGCAAAUGUUUCGGACGCGGGUUCAAUUCCCGCCAUCUCCACUG
This 414-nucleotide transfer-messenger RNA is filed under the name Caldilineaceae. RNAcentral's name for it is "JAGNDO01 sp018003515 Standard tmRNA". It matches the Rfam family "transfer-messenger RNA". Rfam says of the family: Bacterial tmRNA, also known as 10Sa RNA or SsrA, is named for its dual tRNA and mRNA-like properties. The record is from RNAcentral. RNAcentral also lists the same sequence under 1 other name. Lineage: Bacteria; Bacillati; Chloroflexota; Caldilineae; Caldilineales.